CCUACGGGUGGCAGCAGUGGGGAAUAUUGCACAAUGGGGGAAACCCUGAUGCAGCGACGCCGCGUGAGCGAUGAAGUAUCUCGGUAUGUAAAGCUCUAUCAGCCGGGAAGAAAAUGACGGUACCUGACUAAGAAGCACCGGCUAACUACGUGCCAGCAGCCGCGGUAAUACGUCGGGGGCAAGCGUUAUCCGGAUUUACUGGGUGUAAAGGGAGCGUAGACGGCUGGGCAGGCCAGAUGUGAGAGCCCGGGGCUCAACCCCGGGACUGCAUUUGGAACUGGGUGGCUGGAGUGUCGGAGAGGCAGGCGGAAUUCCUGGUGUAGCGGUGAAAUGCGUAGAUAUUAGGAGGAACACCAGUGGCGAAGGCGGCCUGCUGGACGAUGACUGACGUUGAGGCUCGAAAGCGUGGGGAGCAAACAGGAUUAGAUACCCCUGUAGUC
Molecule: ribosomal RNA, 440 nt
Filed under: uncultured bacterium
Lineage: Bacteria
Description: partial 16S ribosomal RNA
Rfam family: Bacterial small subunit ribosomal RNA
Source: RNAcentral